Drosophila miranda is the source of this 215-nucleotide long non-coding RNA. RefSeq lists it as uncharacterized. The transcript is spliced from 2 exons. The record is from RefSeq and is a predicted model, not a curated record. Lineage: Eukaryota; Metazoa; Arthropoda; Insecta; Diptera; Drosophilidae.
UUUUGAAACGUUACAUCAUGUGGUCGAUAUAUAUUUUAUUCAUUUUUUCAACCCUUGCUCUGGUAGCAUUCUCCAAAGAUUUGGAGUAUUGCUUUGACUUUGUGGUUUCCCUAAUAUAUUUUACAUUUCCUAAGGCUUCCAUAUAAACUAUGUGUCGAUCUGGACAGAUUGCAGAACGCCUGAAUGCAAAACGCUUGCGAUCACGAAAAUGAAAG